CCUACGGGUGGCAGCAGUGGGGAAUAUUGCACAAUGGGGGAAACCCUGAUGCAGCGACGCCGCGUGAGUGAAGAAGUAUUUCGGUACGUAAAGCUCUAUCAGCAGGGAAGAAAAUGACGGUACCUGACUAAGAAGCCCCGGCUAACUACGUACCAGCAGCCGCGGUAAUACGUAGGGGGCAAGCGUUAUCCGGAUUUACUGGGUGUAAAGGGAGCGUAGACGGCAGCGCAAGUCUGGAGUGAAAUCCCAUGGCUUAACCAUGGAACUGCUUUGGAAACUGUGCAGCUAGAGUGCAGGAGAGGUAAGCGGAAUUCCUAGGGUAGCGGGGAAAUGGGUAGAUAUUAGGAGGAACACCAGUGGCGAAGGCGGCUGACUGGACUGUAACUGACGUUGAGGCUCGAAAGCGUGGGGAGCAAACAGGAUUAGAUACCCCAGUAGUC
This 440-nucleotide ribosomal RNA is filed under the name uncultured bacterium. RNAcentral's name for it is "partial 16S ribosomal RNA". It matches the Rfam family "Bacterial small subunit ribosomal RNA", at positions 338 to 795 of the family's 1533-position model. The record is from RNAcentral.